RNAcentral lists this ribosomal RNA (1529 nucleotides) under metagenome. Its description in RNAcentral is "bacterial SSU rRNA". It matches the Rfam family "Bacterial small subunit ribosomal RNA". The record is from RNAcentral.
AGAGUUUGAUUCUGGCUCAGAACGAACGCUGGCAGCGUGGAUUAGGCAUGCAAGUCGAACGAGAAUCCAUCGCUUCAAUCCUUCGGGAGAGAAAUGGUGGAGGACAGUGGCGGAAGGGUGAGUAACGCGUGAGCAACUUACCGUCAAGUUUGGGACAACCCUGCGAAAGCGGGGCUAAUACCGGAUGUGGUUUGCAACCGCAUGGUUGCUUUACUAAAGGUGGGGAUCCUUCGGGACCUGUCGCUUGACGAGGGGCUCGCGUCCUAUCAGCUUGUUGGUGGGGUAAUGGCCUACCAAGGCUUACGGGUAGCUGGUCUGAGAGGAUGGUCAGCCACACUGGGACUGAGACACUGCCCAGACUCCUACGGGAGGCUGCAGUCGAGGAUCAUUCGCAAUGCGCGAAAGCGUGACGAUGCGACGCUGCGUGGGGGAUGACGGCCUUCGGGUUGUAAACCCCUGUCAUUUGGGAGCAAUGGUCCCCGGGUUAAUAACCCGGGAACUCGAUAGUACCAAAAGAGGAAGCCACGGCUAACUCUGUGCCAGCAGCCGCGGUAGUACAGAGGUGGCAAGCGUUGUUCGGAUUUACUGGGCGUAAAGGGUGUGUAGGCGGUCUCGUAAGUUGGAUGUGAAAUCUCACUGCUCAACGGUGAAACUGCAUUCAAAACUGCGAAACUUGAGUACAGGAGAGGAAAGCGGAAUUCUCGGUGUAGCGGUGGAAUGCGCUGAUAUCGAGAAGAACACCAGCGGCGAAGGCGGCUUUCUGGAAUGUUACUGACGCUGAGACACGAAAGUUGGGGGAGCGAACAGGAUUAGAUACCCUGGUAGUCCCAACUGUAAACGGUGUGCACUUGGUGUGGGGAGAUUUGACCCUUCCCGUGCCGGAGCUAACGCGUUAAGUGCACCGCCUGGGGAGUACGGCCGCAAGGCUAAAACUCAAAGAAAUUGACGGGGGCCCGCACAAGCGGAGGAGCAUGUGGCUUAAUUCGAUCAACGCGAAGAACCUUACCAAGGCUUGACAUACAGCUGCGCACCCCCCGAAAAGGGGGCAUCCUUCGAGGGUGCUGCACAGGUGCUGCAUGGCUGUCGUCAGUUCGUGCCGUGAGGUGUUGGGUUAAGUCCCGCAACGAACGCAACCCUUGUGUUUAGUUGCCACCACGGGUGAUGAGCCCGUGAGCACUCUAGACAGACUGCCCGUGUAAGCGGGAGGAAGGUGGGGAUGACGUCAAGUCAGUAUGGCCCUUAUGCCUUGGGCUGCACACGUGCUACAAUGGCUGGUACAAAGGGAAGCAAUACCGCGAGGUGGAGCCAAUCCUCAAAGCCAGCCCCAGUUCGGAUUGGAGUCUGCAAUUCGACUCCAUGAAGUUGGAUUCGCUAGUAAUGGCGCAUCAGCUACGGCGCCGUGAAUAUGUUCCCGGGCCUUGUACACACCGCCCGUCACAUCAUGAAAGCUCUCUGCACCCGAAGUCGCUGGUCCAACCCUGAGUUUAUACGAGGGGGGGAAGGUGCCGAAGGUGUGGGGAGUGAUUGGG